GUCGUGGCUACAGCGAAGGGGAAACACCUGUUUCCAUCCCGAACACAGCCGUUAAGCCCUUCAGCGCUGAUGGUACUGGGACGUGAAGUCCUGGGAGAGUAGGUCGCUGCGACUC
RNAcentral lists this ribosomal RNA (115 nucleotides) under Anoxynatronum buryatiense. Lineage: Bacteria; Bacillati; Bacillota; Clostridia; Eubacteriales; Clostridiaceae. The record is from RNAcentral.